UUUAAGUGGGAGGGGCGAAUGAACGUUUAUAUUGGCUCUUGCGCAGUAACACAAAAUGUCUUUUCGUUAAUUAAGUCAUGUUGAUUGGAGUUGUCAGGCACUGAUUGAAGCCCUUUACUUGUUAUACGGCAUUAAAACGCAGACAUGCAAACUAACUUUCCCAGUUAAAUGUGUGCCAAUACCUCUCAAAAGCCUGAAUAGUGUAGCUUAUAAGUGGUCGGCCCAGCAGCAUGCAGAACUGUUUGGGUGUCUGCAGUCCGGUUCUCUCUCCGCUGCCGCCAGCAGGAAGAACCACACAUACCGGGAAGUCCACGGUGACUCUAGCCGGGGAGAGGGAGCGCUUCUCUUGUUUGCUGGAUUGGAAAGUCCCAGGAUGCGCGGGCCUGUCUGGUUCCUCGCCCGACAUGUCGAUGCGGGGAACGUCCAUCAGCUCCAGGGUGGAAAUUCACGAUUCUUCAUUUUUGGGUCAACAGGAACUAGGGCCCUCUCGCUCCACAGGAUGAAACCAGGAUGACGUCUACAAUCUUCCUGUGGGGAGGUGACCCUUUGCUCCCCGUCACGCAUACUGAAUCAUCACACAUGACCUCGAAAAAUGACCAAUUCAAACCAAAGUGAAAGACUUGCUGUGCCUUUUUGGACAUUGCUUCUUGAGACUUUUUUAUGGGCCUUCUCAUGAUAGACAUGCCUACCAAAUGUCAUGGCUCUAAAUGAAACCAGUUAAAGGGGCUGAAUUUUCAAGCAUUUUCUUGCGCAAUUGGCUGGAAUUGCCCAAAGGAACCCAAAAUGUCAGUUUGCAACGGUGUCACCACCUCCUUCCCUUCUCCUCCCUUCCGCUUUGCUCACUCCAAGACAGCUAUGACAAAAUCAGACAACUCGCACUUCAUUCAACCAAAUUGUAGUAACACGCCCCUUCACAUCCUCGGUAACAGCGUUGCAAAGAUGGGAAAAUUAAUUAAUUAUAUUACUUACUACUGAAAAAAUAGAUAUUCAAUUUCAUGUUGCUAAGUGGAAUGCAGUUCACACGCUGAAUUUUCAAAACGCUCGAAAGAUCCCCUGAAAUUCACCAAAAUGGCCCUGAAAUGUCCACUUUAAACCAAAAUGGCUGACCUCAUUUAUACUUAUGACUUGAGCUUUUUUUGUGGGUCUAUUCAUUAUAGACAUGCCUACCAAAUUUCAUGUUGCUAAGUGAAAUGCACUUCAGGGGCUGAAUUUUUAAAACGCUCAAACGAUCCCAUGAAAUCAACCAAAACGGCCACUUUAAACCAAAACUGCUGAUCUCAUUUACGUUAAUGGUUAUGACUUUUUGAUCCUUUUUUUUGGUGGGUCCAUUCGUGAUAAACACGCCUACCAAAUUUCAUGAUGCUCAGUAAAGUGCACUUCAGGGGCUAAAUUUCCAAAAUAUUCAAGUCCUCCAAAUAGACUAGAAUCCUUUGCAUUUUUGGCCAUGAAUUCUUGAGACUUUUCGUAGGUCCACUGAUGGACAUGCCUCUCAAUUUCCAAAACAAACAAUUGCUUGGAAUUGACCAGAAUGACCAAAUUACAGCUUCCUGUGCAUUGUCAGGCAUUAAUUUUUAAGACUUUCUGUGAGCCUUCCCAUGAAGGAUAUGCCCACCAAAUUUAAUGUCUUAAGGGGCUGAAUUUUCCCAACAAAAGUUCUGAACUUUGACCAAAAUUAACCUUAAAUGUCUGCUUAAAGCAUAAAUAGUUGACUUUAUACUUAUAUUGCAACUUUUUUGUGAGUCCACUCAUGAUUCAUAGUCCUAAUGAAACUAGCU
Corythoichthys intestinalis (scribbled pipefish) is the source of this 1775-nucleotide long non-coding RNA. RefSeq lists it as uncharacterized. The transcript is spliced from 3 exons. NCBI's taxonomy places the organism in Eukaryota, Metazoa, Chordata, Actinopteri, Syngnathiformes, Syngnathidae. The record is from RefSeq and is a predicted model, not a curated record.